AGUGAACGCUGGCGGUAGGCCUAACACAUGCAAGUCGAACGGCAGCACAGUAAGAGCUUGCUCUUACGGGUGGCGAGUGGCGGACGGGUGAGGAAUACAUCGGAAUCUACUUUUUCGUGGGGGAUAACGUAGGGAAACUUACGCUAAUACCGCAUACGACCUACGGGUGAAAGCAGGGGAUCUUCGGACCUUGCACGAUUGAAUGAGCCGAUGUCGGAUUAGCUAGUUGGCGGGGUAAAGGCCCACCAAGGCGACGAUCCGUAGCUGGUCUGAGAGGAUGAUCAGCCACACUGGAACUGAGACACGGUCCAGACUCCUACGGGAGGCAGCAGUGGGGAAUAUUGGACAAUGGGCGCAAGCCUGAUCCAGCCACACCGCGUGGGUGAAGAAGGCCUUCGGGUUGUAAAGCCCUUUUGUUGGGAAAGAAAAGCAGCAGGUUAAUACCCCGCUGUUCUGACGGUACCCAAAGAAUAAGCACCGGCUAACUUCGUG
RNAcentral lists this ribosomal RNA (492 nucleotides) under uncultured bacterium. RNAcentral's name for it is "partial 16S ribosomal RNA". It matches the Rfam family "Bacterial small subunit ribosomal RNA", at positions 29 to 507 of the family's 1533-position model. The record is from RNAcentral.